GACAGAGGCCUCGAGCGUUAGGCGGAAUCACUGGGCUUAAAGCGUGUGUAGGCGGAUCGUUAAGUGUCUUGUGAAAUCCCACGGCUCAACCGUGGAACUGCUGGGCAUACUGGCGAUCUUGAGCAGCCUAGGGGCGACCGGAACAAACGGUGGAGCGGUGAAAUGCGUAGAUAUCGCUUGGAACGCCGAAGGUGAAAACAGGUCGCUGGGGAUGUGCCGACGCUGAGACACGAAAGCCAGGGGAGCAAACGGG
This 253-nucleotide ribosomal RNA is filed under the name uncultured bacterium. RNAcentral's name for it is "partial 16S ribosomal RNA". It matches the Rfam family "Bacterial small subunit ribosomal RNA", at positions 524 to 776 of the family's 1533-position model. The record is from RNAcentral.